AGGACUAUUGUCCUUGGAUGUGGCGUAAAGCUGAACGAGAGG
RNAcentral lists this non-coding RNA (42 nucleotides) under unclassified sequences. The record is from RNAcentral.